RNAcentral lists this ribosomal RNA (714 nucleotides) under Schaereria dolodes. Its description in RNAcentral is "SSU rRNA". It matches the Rfam family "Bacterial small subunit ribosomal RNA", at positions 416 to 1216 of the family's 1533-position model. Lineage: Eukaryota; Fungi; Ascomycota; Lecanoromycetes; Sarrameanales. The record is from RNAcentral.
GGAGACGGGGUAAAUCCGAAUAAAAUAAAGUUCUAGAUAGAAUUUUGAUAAUGACAUUUUCUAUCUAUGUCUUGACCAAAGAACGUGCCAGCAGUCGCGGUAAAACGUUGAAGACUAGUGUUAUUCAUCUUUAAUAGGUUUAAAGGGUACUUAGACGGUAUAUUAAGCCCAAAAAGGGUACUAAUAUACUAGAGUUUGAUGUGAGAGGGGGAGUACUAGUGGAGUAGAGAUGAAAUUUUAUUAUACCAUUGGAACAGGUAGCGGCGAAAGCAACCCUUUAUGUAAAAACUGACGUUGAAGGACGAAGGCUUGAGACACCAACAGGAUUAGAUACCCUAGUAGUUCAAGCAGUCAAUGAUGAAUGUCAUAGAUUAGAUUAAUUUUUGUCUAUAAAUGAAAAUGUAAGCAUUCCACCUCAAGAGUAAUGUGGCAACGCAGAAACUGAAAUCAUUAGACCGUUUCUGAAACCAGUAGUGAAGUAUGUUGUUUAAUUCGAUAAUCCGCGAAAAACCUUACCACAAUUUGAAUAUUUUUGUUUUUAUAAUUAUACAAGCGUUGCACGGCUGUCUUCAGUUAAUGUCGUGAGAUUUUGGUUAGUUCCAUUAAAUUAACGCAAACCCUUACUUUAUUUAUUUUUAUAAAGUAGUUCACCGCUAUAUUGGAUAUGAUAAAUGGGACCAAGACAAGUCAUCAUGGCCUGAAUAUUGUGGGCUA